RNAcentral lists this ribosomal RNA (253 nucleotides) under uncultured bacterium. RNAcentral's name for it is "partial 16S ribosomal RNA". It matches the Rfam family "Bacterial small subunit ribosomal RNA", at positions 524 to 776 of the family's 1533-position model. The record is from RNAcentral.
UACAGAGGUCUCAAGCGUUGUUCGGAUUCAUUGGGCGUAAAGGGUGUGUAGGUGGCGCCGUAAGUCGGGUGUGAAAUUUCGGAGCUUAACUCCGAAACUGCAUUCGAUACUGCGGUGCUUGAGGACUGGAGAGGAGACUGGAAUUCAUGGUGUAGCAGUGAAAUGCGUAGAGAUCAUGAGGAAGACCAGUGGCGAAGGCGGGUCUCUGGACAGUUCCUGACACUGAGGCGCGAAGGCCAGGGGAGCAAACGGG